AACGAACGCUGGCGGCAUGCCUAACACAUGCAAGUCGAACGAGACCUUCGGGUCUAGUGGCGCACGGGUGCGUAACGCGUGGGAACCUGCCCUUAGGUUCGGAAUAACUCCCCGAAAGGGGUGCUAAUACCGGAUAAUAUCUUCGGACCAAAGAUUUAUCGCCUUUGGAUGGGCCCGCGUUGGAUUAGCUAGUUGGUAGGGUAAAAGCCUACCAAGGCGACGAUCCAUAGCUGGUCUGAGAGGAUGAUCAGCCACACUGGGACUGAGACACGGCCCAGACUCCUACGGGAAGCAGCAGUGGGGAAUAUUGGACAAUGGGCGAAAGCCUGAUCCAGCAAUGCCGCGUGAGUGAUGAAGGCCUUAGGGUUGUAAAGCUCUUUUACCCGGGAUGAUAAUGACAGUACCGGGAGAAUAAGCUCCGGCUAACUCCGUG
This 433-nucleotide ribosomal RNA is filed under the name uncultured bacterium. RNAcentral describes it as "partial 16S ribosomal RNA". It matches the Rfam family "Bacterial small subunit ribosomal RNA", at positions 29 to 507 of the family's 1533-position model. The record is from RNAcentral.